Molecule: RNA transcript, 1094 nt
Organism: Cynara cardunculus var. scolymus (artichoke)
Lineage: Eukaryota; Viridiplantae; Streptophyta; Magnoliopsida; Asterales; Asteraceae
Gene name: tetraspanin-19-like
Exons: 7
Source: RefSeq, a predicted model, not a curated record
UCUCCCUCCAGAAUUCUUGGCCUGAAUCCUAACCCUAAUUCUGAACUUAGGGUUUGGGAUUUUGGUUUUACCGGUGCUGAUAAUACGAGGUGGAUUUCAUAAUCGUGUUUUCGUUUUUGGGGGAAGAGUGAUUGAUUCAUCAUAGGAAAUGACGAUGUUAAUGAGGAGUUGCACGCAAUCGUUGCUGAAACUGGUUAAUUCUUUCACUGGGAUGUGUGGGUUCGCGACGAUUCUGUAUGCUUUAUGGAUGAUUAGGAUUUGGCACCGCCAAGCAAACGACUCCUAUCAUCCUGCUUCUUGGUUCAUGUAUACUAUCCUUGGACUUGGUGCAAUUCUAUGUGCAAUAACAUGCUGGGGACAUAUUGCUGCAGAGACAGCAAAUGGUUGCUGCCUUUAUUUUUAUCUCGUCUUUGUCCUUUUGAUCCUAAUACUGGAAGGUGCAGUCACAAUGGACGUAUUCUUAAAUCCAAAGUGGGAAGAGGACUUCCCGCAGGACCCAAGUGGAAACUUCCACAAGUUGAAGGAUUUUAUGAAGGAGAACGUGGACAUGUGCAAAUGGGUUGGCUUGUCUAUUCUUUCUGUUCAGGGGCUGUCUAUGGUUUUGGCUCUUAUUCUCAUAGCUCUUGGGCCACACCGAAUAAGCUACAAUAAUGAUGAUGAGUAUACUCCAGAAGGGGUUCCAUUGCUGAAGAAUUAUUCAAAUCAGUCCCCUUGUGUCUAUGGAUCCAAGAUCGAUGCUUGGAACAGUUAGGUCAAUAUGAGGCCGUUACAUAGCAGCAUUACGUGGCAGCUCUGAAGAAUGAGAUAAGCGGGUUCUAGACAUCUAGCUACAUAUGAAAACAAGGCCAAAUAAACAGAACACACAUGAAGUGCAGGUAGAGGAAACUGAUCAAACUCGGUUAACCGGUGGCUGCAUCCAACAAGGGGAAGAUCUUGAGACAUCUUUUUUACGGAUACACAUGUAAGCCUUUGUUAUCUUUCGCUGUACAUAUAUAUAUAAUGCUGCAAAAUAAAGUAGCAUCUUGAUCAAUUUGUAUGAUGUAUGUGUAUUUCUUCUUAAUAAUAACGCAUGCCAUGUAUUUCUUGUAUGUAGA